UAAUUUUACAAUGAAAAUGUAAUGUUUUUUAAACUAUAUUAAUAGAAAUUUAAACAUUUUUUGCUUAUUAG
RNAcentral lists this transfer RNA (71 nucleotides) under Scarelus longicornis. Its description in RNAcentral is "tRNA-Glu". The record is from RNAcentral. Lineage: Eukaryota; Metazoa; Arthropoda; Insecta; Coleoptera; Lycidae.